RNAcentral lists this ribosomal RNA (850 nucleotides) under Bacillus sp. (in: firmicutes). RNAcentral's name for it is "bacterial SSU rRNA". It matches the Rfam family "Bacterial small subunit ribosomal RNA", at positions 35 to 865 of the family's 1533-position model. Lineage: Bacteria; Bacillati; Bacillota; Bacilli; Caryophanales; Bacillaceae. The record is from RNAcentral.
GGGAGUGGCGGGCGUGCUAUACAUGCAAGUCGAGCGGACAGAAGGGAGCUUGCUCCCGGAUGUUAGCGGCGGACGGGUGAGUAACACGUGGGUAACCUGCCUGUAAGACUGGGAUAACUCCGGGAAACCGGAGCUAAUACCGGAUAGUUCCUUGAACCGCAUGGUUCAAGGAUGAAAGACGGUUUCGGCUGUCACUUACAGAUGGACCCGCGGCGCAUUAGCUAGUUGGUGAGGUAACGGCUCACCAAGGCGACGAUGCGUAGCCGACCUGAGAGGGUGAUCGGCCACACUGGGACUGAGACACGGCCCAGACUCCUACGGGAGGCAGCAGUAGGGAAUCUUCCGCAAUGGACGAAAGUCUGACGGAGCAACGCCGCGUGAGUGAUGAAGGUUUUCGGAUCGUAAAGCUCUGUUGUUAGGGAAGAACAAGUGCAAGAGUAACUGCUUGCACCUUGACGGUACCUAACCAGAAAGCCACGGCUAACUACGUGCCAGCAGCCGCGGUAAUACGUAGGUGGCAAGCGUUGUCCGGAAUUAUUGGGCGUAAAGGGCUCGCAGGCGGUUUCUUAAGUCUGAUGUGAAAGCCCCCGGCUCAACCGGGGAGGGUCAUUGGAAACUGGGAAACUUGAGUGCAGAAGAGGAGAGUGGAAUUCCACGUGUAGCGGUGAAAUGCGUAGAGAUGUGGAGGAACACCAGUGGCGAAGGCGACUCUCUGGUCUGUAACUGACGCUGAGGAGCGAAAGCGUGGGGAGCGAACAGGAUUAGAUACCCUGGUAGUCCACGCCGUAAACGAUGAGUGCUAAGUGUUAGGGGGUUUCCGCCCCUUAGUGCUGCAGCUAACGCAUUAAGC